RNAcentral lists this unclassified non-coding RNA (289 nucleotides) under Hyaloscypha sp. RNAcentral's name for it is "partial contains 5.8S ribosomal RNA, internal transcribed spacer 2, and large subunit ribosomal RNA". The stretch from base 1 to 52 matches the Rfam family "5.8S ribosomal RNA", at positions 103 to 154 of the family's 154-position model. Lineage: Eukaryota; Fungi; Ascomycota; Leotiomycetes; Helotiales; Hyaloscyphaceae. RNAcentral also lists the same sequence under 1 other name. The record is from RNAcentral.
AACGCACCUUGCACUCUUUGGUAUUCCGAAGAGUAUGUCUGUUUGAGUGUCAUGAAACUCUCAACCCCCUCAUUUUGUAAUGAAACGAGCGUGGGCUUGGAUUAUGGUUGUUGCUGGCGUAAAGUCGGCUCAACUGAAAUAUACGAGCAACCCAUUUUGAAAUAGACGGUUUGACUCGGCGUAAUAAUUAUUUCGCUGAGGACGUCCAAUUCAAUGUAGUGGUGCUUCUAAUGCAUUAAUCAUUUAAGCUUUAGACCUCAAAUCAGUCAAGACUACCCGCUGAACUUAA